AAGCAUCCAGCUACCUAUCAACCUCAUGGACUGAGGAUUUCGAAUUCUAGUAAUGGCAUUCAAAGAAAUUUUUGGAUCAGCUGUGAAAUCCUCUACAUCUUCCGUCUCUUCCAAAUCAAUCCAGAACAAUUUCUUACAUUGAUGGCCUCGAACAAACUGCUCAUCACAAUUAAAACAGAGUCCUUUCUUCCGCCUCUCCUCCAUUUCAU
This 209-nucleotide long non-coding RNA is filed under the name Jatropha curcas. RNAcentral describes it as "long non-coding RNA (JCUR_LNC003057)". Lineage: Eukaryota; Viridiplantae; Streptophyta; Magnoliopsida; Malpighiales; Euphorbiaceae. The record is from RNAcentral.